This is a long non-coding RNA of Acipenser ruthenus (sterlet), 287 nucleotides long. RefSeq lists it as uncharacterized. The transcript has 3 exons. NCBI's taxonomy places the organism in Eukaryota, Metazoa, Chordata, Actinopteri, Acipenseriformes, Acipenseridae. The record is from RefSeq and is a predicted model, not a curated record.
GGCUAUGUUUCAGUGAAGGUGGGAACUCGGAAUAGUACUAUGUGGAGUCUUUCACAAGAUGAGGGAAAGGAGUCAAGAAAGAACUAUAAAAGGAGACAAGAACUUCUACACAAUGGUUUCUUUACCCCUGCUGAAAAAACAUUUAGAAGUAUUGGAGAAGUUAAUCUGGACAAUGUGGAUCUCUUUACCCCCUGUUUAACCACUGAGGAUCAAGAGCUGAUGAGAAAACAACUUGAAAAGAGACAUGGCAAAAAGACUGGUGGUUCUGUGUUUAGUCAAGAAAAAGC